CUAGGGAAACGUUUAGGCAGGUGGGAGUCAGUAUGGUUUAAGUCCUGUUUCAGGCCGGUCUAUUUGGUUUAAUGGCUAUGGACGUAUGGGUUUGUGUUUGGGGCUAUGCCUUGUCACUAAUUACUUUAGUUUCAGGUUUGGUGACAUGGUUGGUGGGCCAUUCUUAUAUAUAAGGGGCACAGAUGGGAGCCGCGUUUCGAUUCAAGCGCAACUGGG
Non-coding RNA from Pelobates cultripes (western spadefoot toad), 216 nucleotides. Lineage: Eukaryota; Metazoa; Chordata; Amphibia; Anura; Pelobatidae. The record is from the annotation of a GenBank genome assembly.